AGUGGUGGAAUCACCAUCCCUGGAAGAGUUCGCAAACUGUAGAUGAGGCCCUCAGUGACAUGGUUUAGUGGUGGUCUUGGCAGUCCUGGGUUACCCCAGGUUGAACUUGAUGAUGUUAAAGGUCUUUCCCAACCUAGAAGAUUCUAUGAUUGUAUGAUAGGGGCAGCAGACAGGUAAUAUGAAAGUCAAUCUUUCAUUGCACAUUACAAGAGUAACAGUGACUCUUACAAUGUCUGCCUAAGUUUGUUUUACAGAAGAAUAUAGUUUCGGUAGCAGAAGGGUGUUGGUAAGUGUCUGUCUGCUUUGGAAAUGAGCGUCCUUCCCUUGCUCACAGAAGGCUGUCUACAGUUUGCCCCAGCACGAUGUAGAAGCAGAAAGACAUUAUCCUGUGAGAAAGUUGCUUAUCCAGUUGCCAUCACUUACAGACAGUAAAAGCUAAGCAAAAAAGGAGAAAUACAACUUUUAAGGAUAGUCAGCAGUUAUGUGGAGCUUUUCACCUUAAAAUGCCUUGCACACUCUAGUUUAUAUUUAAACUCAUAUAGCUAGAGUACAUAUGUCCGAGUCUAUCUGUGUGGGUGCCCUGUCCUUUUUUAUGUACUGUACAUAAACAUACAAGGAAGAUAGACAACACUCAGCAGGUCAGUAUAUGUAACAAGAAAGUAAAUGAAGUGUACAUAGCAAUGGUUGGGAAACAGUUGAUCCCCUGCCAUCAGGACUCCUGUGGGAGGGGAUGGAAGGGAAGGACAUUGUCUCACAGCCUCUAGUUGCACUAAAAAAUAGAGUCAGCCUCUCCAUUUAUGUGCUAAGAAAGGCAACUUGAAGAAUGGGGUUGAAAUUACUUUUGAACACCUGCUGAAAGUGUGACUACUUGUGGUAUUAUUGAUAGAGUAUGCAAGUUGGUGACCCGAGUCCUUUCCUACCGUAUUCAAGUUCACAGUUUUCCUCUCUUUGCCUUUAAUGAUUUAGAGGUCGUUUUGGCAGUGUGGAACAGACAUUAAUUCACCUGCUGUCCUGAAGGCCAUUAUGAGAAAAAUCACAAAGUCAGAGCAGUGGCUUGAUUUUUAUGACUGAAGUCUUCUGCAGACAUGAGCCUAUUAUUCAGCUGCAGAGUUGUGUGGCCCUCGAAGCCGAAUUGCAGGGGUGAAGGUCACUGCCUUGCCAGUAAUCACAUUGCUGUUACAUGAAGUUUUAAUCAGCAAAUACUGGGCAAAUAUAGCUCUGGUACUGUACUGUUAAAUAUAAUGGAAUUUGCCCCACAGAUGACUGUAGGUCCUUGUUGUUAAAGCAGCUCUGCCUGUUUACCUUUCAGCUGCAGCUUAAACGUAUGAAAUGUGCCAUAAUCCAGCUUUCCCCACAUCAGAGGCAUGAAGAAACCACUUUCCUGUAGCAUUGCAUAUAAAGAGGUUUUGCCUAUGUGUUGGUCAUUAGCCUGUGAGCUUCCUAAAGCAAAAUUUCCCAUGGGGAUGAAGAGCUGUAAAGCACUUAACGGUAAAGCCACACUUUACUGUUAAUCCCAUUCACAGACCAUCACUUUUCUAGCACUAAGUUUUGGAGCCUUAAUAAUAGCUGAAAUGCUGUUUCAGUCCUUCCUACCCUUGUUUAAGCCCAGUCAAGAAGGGUUCAUGAACAGUUUAUGUCUCUUCUGCCCUUUGGAAAUGUUGGAGAAAUGGUGCAAAACUUGAGACUUGAAACAAGGGCUAAACAUUGACUUUCAUUGACUUCAUCGUCAACCACAGCGAGCUCCCAGGUGUGGCCCUGCCUCUUCUCUACAAGUUCAAACCUUAUCCCCAUGGCAGGCAGCUGCUGCAGCAGGACUGAAGGAGUGUUUUCUCCCUUAUGCGGAGAUAGGAGCUCGCUUGCAGCCGUGUAGCUGAAGAGCGUAUUUGCGCAGCAGAAUAGCUGGUAGCUAUUGUGGUAGAAAUGGGCUCUGUAGUCUGCUCAGCCUUACAGACUUGCUUUUUCCCCUCCAACUACGUGUGGACUCUGUGAACAAGAGCCUUGUGAUGAUGAUGACUUCUGAGUACCUUAUGUGUUGUCUUGGAAUAAAUUUCUAAUUUAUGACUGUGUUGAUUGCCCUGGCUGGAUGGGGAGAAGCCUGGAGCUCCCAAACCCCCACCUCCUCUGCUUUUUCAUCCUCCGAUGUUUUAUUUUCCCAGCAGCCCAGCUGUACUCUCCUCAUACUGUGUGCAUUGUCGGGAUUAUCUUCAGCCAUGUGAACUAUAAACACGGCUCACUGCAGCCCAGCUAACGGAGUGGCAGAGGGCCAAGAAGGAAAGUCGUCCUCUUCGCCUGCAAGGCAUCUGAAAAACAGGCCCAGGAAGGGUCUUUCCCUCACUCUGCUCAGACCUCUGGCACUAUAAUGACAAAGUAAAGCUCCCAAAACAAUAGAGCAGUUGUUUCUCCACGAUGGGAUACCCCCAGGUACUCAUGAUGACCACAAGGAUCCCUUCUUUUUUUUUUUCCCUUUAAUAAGUUAUGAGGGAAAGAAAGAUUUCUCCUUGUUUUCCUUUACACAUAGCAAUGUCCUUCAGCAGACUUUAUUUUCAGAGACUAAAAAGCAGAACUCAGACUGCUUAUUUUCCAAUCACUAUGAAUUUGGGUAACACAGUUCUUCCAUGUCUCAAGUUUAUCACAUGUAAACAUGGGAAGCAAACCCUCCUAUUGGUUUGUAAUGUGUCCUUGUAGCUGUAACGUCCAGAGCUUACUGCUGCAGAGAAGUAUUUUGUUUUACUGAAGUCUACGUGAAGAGUAAGGAUAACACCCACAAAGUUUUGAAAUCACUUAAUAUCCCUGUGGAAAACUAACUCUCUUUAAAAUUAUUGAGUAGUAAAGGACAAAGUGGGAAUUAAGAACAUAAAGAGCUCUCUGUAUCUGUGCCUGUGGUGCUACUGAUAUAACAAGGAGUACCAGGGCUAGUCCCUAAUUAAAACAGAAUAGUUGUCUGAUUAAUGGGCAGCACCAGAUGGCAUCAACCGAGGUGCCUUUUUUAGCUUUACUUAGCCAUUCUUCAAAAAAUACUUAUUUCGGGCUAUGGUGAAAUUCUCUUCCAUGGGUAUCACCUAUAAAUGUAUGCUCCCUUUGCAAAUUCCUCAAGUGCCUAGGAAGUGACAUUCAGAAUAGAGCAGCUUAUCAACCUUAGCAGGAGCUGUCAUUAACACUCAAACCAUAUUUUCACUUCUUUACAUCACAGGCACUUACUUUACAGCUUGGUGGAGGAGAAAGAAGGGCUUCAGCUCCAGCCCUAGUUACUGAUGUGUUGCACUGCCAAGCAGACACUGGAGUCAGCAGUGUCGAAGCAUGUGUGGGAGUCCAAUCUCCAACAACCCCUGGCAUGCAUCUAAACUUCAGACUAGAUUAAAGGUCGAACUUUGCUUCUGUCUUUUUUUGACUUGGAGAGCCAAUGUCCUCAGGCAAGCAAGCUAUUACGUUUUAUUUCAUCAGUUAGUGGGAAGCAGCUGCUUUGCUUAGCAUAAUUAAUGAGGAGGUCAGACAGUAUACAAUAGUGUUAUAUGGAGCACCAAGGCAAGUAAUUGCCCAUAAACCCAGUAUCUUGUAAAAAGGGAGGGGAAAAUCCACCUCCCUCGAAGAAAAAAUUAAGAGCACAGUACUUCCCUUUAGCCAUUGUUGAAGCAUUCCCCCUUCAGGUCCUUCAAGGCCAGAAAAUCAUUUACCAAAAUUAUUCAGGAAGUAAUCCACAACAAUGCUCUCUGUUCUUUACUGUUGCAAAUAUACAUAAGAAAUAUCCAUGUAAAAAUAUACAUGAAAAAUAUUCAGGUAAAUGGAAGGCAAUUGCACAGUGCUGUACUCACCAACCCUCCUGGGGUGUCCAAAGGUAAUUUAAAAGACAUUGCAAGCUGAUGUUCGCAAUAGUUUCCUGUAAGUUCUGUUAUGGAUCACCUUGUUUUCAGCUUUUUUUUUUCCCCUUUGACUGCAGGCAGGUGGGACAAAAGCCAUUGGCGUAUGCUCAUUCGUGAUAAGAUGUCUACACUCUGAAGCCAACCCGGAGAAGAGCAGGAGAUACACUUUCAGAAAUACUGAACAGGCUAACCCAACAGUAGCUCACACUGAGUAAUUCAUUAAGACACUGGGAAUGCAGGGGAAAAUGGCAGGAUAUGUGUUAUCUCUCUCAGGCUAAGUUUCAUUGUCUAGAACAGACUAGACUAUUUCAGUUGGAAGGGACCUCAUCUAGUCCAACUGCCUGACCACUUAAGGACUGACCAAAGGUUAAAGCAUGUUGUUAAGGGCAUUGUCCAAAUGACUCAUCAACACUGACAGGCUUGGGGACCUCUCUAGGAAGCCUGUCCCAGUGUUUGACCACCCACUCUGAGAAAUGCUUCCUAAUGCUUGGUCUGAACCUCCCUAGCAAAGCUUUGAACCGUUGUCUAAUUUGUCUUUGAUCUUUUUUGAUAAAAAUGCAGGGUGGCUUCUGAAGAACCCAAAGGUGGUGAAAUUAAGGGUUCAUGAGUCUGAUUCAUUCCACUGAAAAGGUGAUAUUCAGGUCCAAUGAAAAGCCUCUGGCUCACUACCCUGAGCAUCUUCUCUUUUUACAGCAAUGAUAGACCACCACACUUAAGUAAAGAUGUCCCUUUACUCAAGAAAGCUGUUCCUAUUUUGCUUGUAAAUGUGACUGACCUCAAGGCUGCUCUGCCAGACUUUCUCAUGCUGACUAAUAAUCUGCUUCUGCCAAAGGGUAUUCAACGGAACUGGAGAAUGUUAGGAUCGCAAUAUAUAUUAUGUAGAUUGCAGCAUGUAUGCGAAACUUCAGUAUAGAGCCUUGCUCUGUGUGAAUGCUGUGGACCAAAUGCCAGGCAGUACUUUACUCCAUUUGCAGUUUCACUGGUUUUGGUGAGGAUCUUACCAGUGCAAUAUUAAUCAGUGCAGCUGAAGAGAUCUGGUCCUGU
Molecule: long non-coding RNA, 4901 nt
Organism: Pezoporus flaviventris
Lineage: Eukaryota; Metazoa; Chordata; Aves; Psittaciformes; Psittacidae
Exons: 3
Source: RefSeq, a predicted model, not a curated record